This 811-nucleotide unclassified non-coding RNA is filed under the name Hevea brasiliensis (rubber tree). Lineage: Eukaryota; Viridiplantae; Streptophyta; Magnoliopsida; Malpighiales; Euphorbiaceae. The record is from RNAcentral.
AUUCAUUGAAUAUUUUCAAUCUUGAUUAAUAUUAGUUCUCAUAAUUUUGGAUAUUUUAGUUAAUAAUUUUAGACUUAAUUAACAAUUAGUAGUUGAAAAUUUGAUAAUUAAAUGCUCAUCUAAUCCAUGGAGAGGGAGGACAUUGUGUGGUGGGAUCCACGCCGUUAGAUUGACAGAUUGACAAUGGGUCCCUCUAGAUAUGGUUGCCGUACGGUACAAGGCUUUAAACAUGAUAAAGUUAGAACUUUGGUUUUUGUCAUUUUCAAUCAGCAGAAUUACCUUCUCCACACACUUGAGGCUCAUUGCGGUUGACCGCAUUUGAUCCCACCAAAACACCACCAUUUGCUUGCCUUCAUACUGAGUUCACUCACCACAAUAACAAACUUGCACCACUUUCCGCUAUGUUAGCUUAGUCCCGGUUCAGACCAAUAAAAAACCGCGGGUCUUCUCAAAUCAAAAUUGACAAUUUUGAUUUGCGAAGAAAAUGAAUUUAAAUUGAAUUAUUAGAUGUCAAAUUAAUUUCAAUUCAAUUUAAAUAUUAUCUCAAUGAUUGAUUUUCUUUUGCAAAGUUUGAUUUAGAUAAAACUAUUAAACAGUCGGCGAUCCAAUUUAAGAUCUUCAAUUAAUUUAACCAUUGAUUUUGAUUCGAAAAGAAUUGUGAUUUUUAUUUUUUUUUUAAAUUAGGGCUAAGUGCCUAUUUAGUUUAAUUGUUUUUAAAGUAGGACUAAGAGCUUAUUUGAUUUAACUGUUGAAUACAGUUGAUAACUAUUAAAUGAUAGCUGAUAGUUGAUAGCUGAUUUAUAUUAAGUGU